GCCUAAAGCGUCCGUAGCCUGUUUUGUCAGUUUUCGGUUAAAUCCAUACGCUUAACGUAUGGGCUGCCGGAAAUACUGCAAAACUAGGGAGUGGGAGAGGUAGACGGUACUCGGGAGGAAGGGGUAAAAUCCUUUGAUCUCUCGAUGACCACCUGUGGCGAAGGCGGUCUACCAGAACACGUCCGACGGUGAGGGAUGAAAGCUGGGGGAGCAAACCGGAUUAGAUACCCGGGUAGUCCCAGCUGUAAACUAUGCAAACUCAGUGAUGCAUUGGCUUGAUGCCAAUGCAGUGUUGCAGGGAAGCCGUUAAGUUUGCCGCCUGGGAAGUACGUACGCAAGUAUGAAACUUAAAGGAAUUGGCGGGGGAGCACCACAAGGGGUGAAGCCUGCGGUUCAAUUGGAGUCAACGCCAGAAAUCUUACCCGGAGAGACAGCAGAAUGAAGGUCAAGCUGAAGACUUUACCAGACAAGCUGAGAGGUGGUGCAUGGCCGUCGCCAGCUCGUGCCGUGAGAUGUCCUGUUAAGUCAGGUAACGAGCGAGAUCCUUGCCUCUAGUUGCCACCAUUACUCUCAGGAGUAGUGGGGCGAAUUAGCGGGACCGCCGUAGUUAAUACGGAGGAAGGAAGGGGCCACGGCAGGUCAGUAUGCCCCGAA
Molecule: ribosomal RNA, 654 nt
Filed under: uncultured archaeon
Lineage: Archaea
Description: bacterial SSU rRNA
Rfam family: Archaeal small subunit ribosomal RNA
Source: RNAcentral